RNAcentral lists this ribosomal RNA (460 nucleotides) under uncultured bacterium. Its description in RNAcentral is "partial 16S ribosomal RNA". It matches the Rfam family "Bacterial small subunit ribosomal RNA", at positions 338 to 795 of the family's 1533-position model. The record is from RNAcentral.
CCUACGGGAGGCAGCAGUGAGGAAUAUUGGUCAAUGGACGAGAGUCUGAACCAGCCAAGUAGCGUGAAGGAUGACUGCCCUAUGGGUUGUAAACUUCUUUUAUAUGGGAAUAAAAUGUUCCACGUGUGGGAUUUUGUAUGUACCAUAUGAAUAAGGAUCGGCUAACUCCGUGCCAGCAGCCGCGGUAAUACGGAGGAUCCGAGCGUUAUCCGGAUUUAUUGGGUUUAAAGGGAGAGUAGGUGGAUUGUUAAGUCAGUUGUGAAAGUUUGCGGCUCAACCAUAAAAUUGCAGUUGAAACUGGCAGUCUGGAGUACAGUAGAGGUGGGCGGAAUUCGUGGUGUAGCGGUGAAAUGCUUAGAUAUCACGAAGAACUCCGAUUGCGAAGGCAGCUCACUGGACUGCAACUGACACUGAGGCUCGAAAGUGUGGGUAUCAAACAGGAUUAGAUACCCCAGUAGUC